UACAGAGGGUGCAAGCGUUAAUCGGAAUUACUGGGCGUAAAGCGUGCGCAGGCGGUGCUGUAAGACAGGCGUGAAAUCCCCGGGCUUAACCUGGGAAUGGCGCUUGUGACUGCAGUGCUGGAGUGCGGCAGAGGGGGAUGGAAUUCCGCGUGUAGCAGUGAAAUGCGUAGAUAUGCGGAGGAACACCAAUGGCGAAGGCAAUCCCCUGGGCCUGUACUGACGCUCAUGCACGAAAGCGUGGGGAGCAAACAGG
RNAcentral lists this ribosomal RNA (253 nucleotides) under uncultured bacterium. RNAcentral's name for it is "partial 16S ribosomal RNA". It matches the Rfam family "Bacterial small subunit ribosomal RNA", at positions 524 to 776 of the family's 1533-position model. The record is from RNAcentral.